CUCCUAGCUGCUGGUGCAAAUCCUAAUCUGCCUCAACCUGAUCCAGUUUCCUUACCUCUAUUUGCUGCGUUGGAGAAGCGUUGGUGGCGGGGCGCAGAGCUGCUGCUGGAUGCUGGUGCAGAUGCUAAGGCAACAGAUGCAGAGCACAACAACAGAUCAGCUACAUUCUUUGCUAAGGACAAUGUUGAAAUACUUGCAAGACUUCUAAAAGGUGGCUGUUCCUACGAGGAGAUCAGUGAUUGGAUUGGAGGAGGAGAAUUUACCAAAA
Long non-coding RNA from Hyalella azteca, 268 nucleotides. RefSeq lists it as uncharacterized. NCBI's taxonomy places the organism in Eukaryota, Metazoa, Arthropoda, Malacostraca, Amphipoda, Hyalellidae. The transcript is spliced from 3 exons. The record is from RefSeq and is a predicted model, not a curated record.